CCCUUAGAUGUUCGGGGCCGCACGCGCGCUACACUGAAGGAAUCAGCACGUCUUUCUCCUUGUCCGAAAGGACUGGGUAACCCGCUGAACCUCCUUCGUGCUAGGGAUUGGGGCUUGUAAUUCUUCCCCAUGAACGAGGAAUUCCCAGUAAGCGCGAGUCAUAAGCUCGCGUUGAUUACGUCCCUGCCCUUUGUACACACCGCCCGUCGCUGCAACUGAUUGGGUGACCUGGUGAACAUCUUGGACCGGCUUGCCCAUUUUUGGACGAGUUGGAAAAGGACGUAAAUCAGGUACAUCUAGAAAUUGCAAAAGUCGUAACA
This 320-nucleotide ribosomal RNA is filed under the name uncultured eukaryote. Its description in RNAcentral is "partial 18S ribosomal RNA". It matches the Rfam family "Eukaryotic small subunit ribosomal RNA", at positions 1470 to 1796 of the family's 1831-position model. The record is from RNAcentral.